UACGGGGGGGGUAAGCGUUGUUCGGAAUUACUGGGCGUAAAGGGCUCGUAGGCGGCCAACUAAGUCAGACGUGAAAUCCCUCAGCUUAACUGGGGAACUGCGUCUGAUACUGGAUGGCUUGGAUCCGGGAGAGGGAUGCGGAAUUCCAGGUGUAGCGGUGAAAUGCGUAGAUAUCUGGAGGAAUACCGGUGGCGAAGGCGGCAUCCUGGACCGGCAUUGACGCUGAGGAGCGAAAGCCAGGGGAGCAAACGGG
Molecule: ribosomal RNA, 253 nt
Filed under: uncultured bacterium
Lineage: Bacteria
Description: partial 16S ribosomal RNA
Rfam family: Bacterial small subunit ribosomal RNA
Source: RNAcentral